Danio rerio (zebrafish) is the source of this 3365-nucleotide non-coding RNA. NCBI's taxonomy places the organism in Eukaryota, Metazoa, Chordata, Actinopteri, Cypriniformes, Danionidae. The record is from RefSeq and is a predicted model, not a curated record.
AGUGGAUGAAAACAUCCCCAACAGUACAUAAGGUUUAAUAUUGUAAUGAUAAAACCAGUGCAACAUAAGACUUUUUGUGGUCCAGAGUCACAAAUAAUGUAAACACAAGAACAUUUGACCAAAUCUUUGUGUGAUCAACAACACUUAUUUGCAUUCAGAUGUUCUGCACUUUUUGUGUGUUUAGUUUUAUCAUAAUCACUUAUAAUAUAUUUGAUGUAACCAAUGGCAAAGCAGCAUGGAAAUAAAAGAGCUAGUUUCAGGUAGAAAAACAACUCUUAAAGGCAGGACUCUGCUCUAAUAUUGAGUACUUGGUCAUGGUCCAAGGCUUGUGCUUUGAUAUCUGCCCUGCCCCAUAUAAUUCACAAACAAGCCUGAGGUGCACAGUCCUCUCUCAGACAGAAGACGCUCUAUAGCCUCUAUCACUGCACAUGUUGGUUUGCAUAUCUGAGGCAAAAAAAAAAAAAUAGCUUAGAUGCCGUCAUGAACAAUUUGAGAGUUCACCAUGGCAACAAAAGCCCAGUCCUAGAAUAGCAACAGCAUAGAGACAAGUGUGAUGAGUGUGAUUAUUGCUGCAUGCUCUUGCAAAACACAAUUAUUUCUGCUUGGUGCUUCUGGUUACAUUUCAAUCCAGAUGAUUAUUUAGCAAUAGUUAACUGGAGUGAUUGGUGAAUGAUGGAAACCUUUAUUCAUGGAGUAAUUUUUUGAGUGUAUUGUGGUUCUAACUUAAAUAUUUAAAGGACUAUGUUAACAAUUUAUAAUUCAGAAUUAAAUACUUCACAGAGGGGUGGGCUGGGCCAAUAAACAAUAUAUCGAAUCGCAAUAAAAUUUAUGUCAAUAAAAAUGAUAAGCUCUGGACUUUUUUUUUUUUAAUCCAUAUUGAUCCAAGAGCCAAUCACACAGCAGAAACGUGCAAGUGUUAUGACAUUAGGUACUGAAUUUCAUGUCGCCAAAAAUUUAUCAGCUGAAAAUAUGUUAUGCUAUUUAAUGGAUCCUCUAAUUUUAUGUGGCUUCAGUGUUGGGGUAACAAUGUGUUAAAGUAAUAACAGUGUAUUAAAUCUGGAAGCAUAACAACUUAUAUCGAAAUAUAUAUUGUUAUCGUUCAUUAUGGAAAAUAGUUAUUAAGAUUGCAUUUUUGCCUUAUCUCCCAGCCCUACAGUGGGGUGUAUAGUACAAAUGUGGCAUUUAUUAUUAUUUUUUUCUUUUAUGUUUUUUUUUUUUUUUUUUUAAAUAAAUGCUACUUUUCUAGGUAUUUUGUUUGUGCUGAGAUAUGUAAGUCAUGGAUAAGUAUAAUAAUAAAACCUUUUUACAUAAUUAUUUGUUAAAAUUAUUUGUUCACAAGGCUGAAUCUUUCAGUGCUUCAGUAGCAUGUCGUGUUUGAAACUGCCCUCUAUACCCACUAAUAUAUCUAAUGCCAUUUGUAGUGGUGUCGGAAACCAUAGUGCAGGGGUGUCCAAACUUGGUUCUGGAGGAUUGCUAUCCUGCAUAGUUAAGCUUCAACUUCCUUCAACACACUUUCCUGGAAGUUUUAGUAUACCAAGAAAGAGCUUUAUUAGGUUCCUCCAGGACCGAGUUUGGGCACCCCUGCCAUAGCACAAGUGCACUCAUUCAGUCUCAUACAACUAACAGAUGAAGAAUACUUAUAAUGCAAUUUGAUGGCAAGGCAUUAGCAUCUCAUCAGAAGAUGGUGCUAAUUUAUCCAGUCAUUGUCUAAACAACUGGCUCAUUGUGGGAACACAGGGUUUCCGCAGGGUCUUAAAAAGUCAAAAUGUCUUAACUUUUGAAAACAAAAUUUUAGGCCUUAAAAAGUCUGACUAAAAUAUUGUCUUGUAGGUCUUAAAUCCUUUUAAACAAGUCCUAAUUUUCAUCUGUCAAUGUCUCCAAUCACCAACAAUACAUCUCAAAAACAUUCAACCAACAUCUACAUAUUAAUAUGCAUACAUAAAAUUAGGAUUUGCUUGUUUUGACACAUUACUUAAAAUAUGUGGCAUAGAAAUAACUAAUUAGAUUUUUUUGGAGGAGACAAGUAAACCUCUUUUCCACUUUACCAACCAGGGGAAAAAAUAGUGUUUAGUCCUGUAAAAGUCUGAAAUUUCAUUCAUAACAGUCUUAAAACUUUGUGAAACCUGUAGAAACCCUAGAACAGCAUAAUAUUAGGCCCUUUGUGUGUUUAAAUUCUCUUUUAAUUGAUUAGUAAAUUAUUUAACUAAGGUUAAACUUUCUUAUUUUCAAGAUAAUUUUAAGAUAAAUCUGUCUAUCUCUAAUUGUAACGGCCAGUUUGCUGGUGUGUUUGAAUUCACACACAAUUACAUUCAUUUACUCCUUCAAGUGGCCUUUAGUGGACUAAUUUGAACGAGGGUAUAGAGUGUGACUUUUGAACGCAGCCUGCUUACGAAAUUGCAUACCUUUUUACUAUACAAGUGAAGUACAGUAUGUAACAGGAUAAGUAUAACUGAAUUCUAAAAGGACAGAGGAUAUAUUACAUGUAGUACAUUCAAUAAAAUUCAUACUUUUCAUAUUUACACUAUUUAAUGCAUACUUUUAGUGUUUUUUUUUUUAAAGUAACUGCCUACUUAAAAGGUAAUAUCUGAUUUCAGAUGCAGUUUUUAUGGAAUGGAUCAUCGUUCGUUUGUAGUAUUGCUCUGAAAUGCACAAAUAUUCUUCAUUUUAGUAUUUGUCUUGAAAUGACUACAUACUUAAGCACCCUUAUAUAUCAGAAAUCUCCCCAGAAAUUCUGAGAUUUUUAAAAUGCAUCUCGAUUGGAUUAUGGGUUUAGUUUUUACCAUCAGAUGGCGCUGUAGACAAGUUUUUAACCGUAAACGCAAAUGCUCACUAGGAAGAGUGCCUGUGCAUUCGGCUAGUCAUUUCUGUAAAAGACAAGACGUGGGUGCAACAGUCAAUACGUCCAUCUAAAAAAGAAAUAGGAAGUGCGGGAAUGCAGAAAACACAUAAGCAGGUUCCUUCUGACGAUGCAAAUAUGAUCAGUAUCAAAGAUGCUCACCAGAAUGACCAGCCAUAGUCCCAUGUGUGAGGCCUCCAGUCUUCAGGUCCCAAGCUGACUGUAAUCUGGAACACUUGUGUGUACAUCAUGUGGGCCACCAUUCCCAGAAGACCUGUUGAGUAAUCCACAUGUCCACUGGAAUUAAAGAGGAGCAUUAAGGCCCCAAAUGAAAAGGGCUAUUGGGUAUUCAGCAAAUCAAAUAAUCAAAAAUUCAAAAAGCAGCAGCUGUUCUGGCUUUAUAAAUGUGAGGGUUUACCCACAAUGCAUCUGAUAUUAAGUAAAACGUUUAAUUCUGUGAAAUAUUGUUUUAUAAAUCUUAUGUUUUUUUUUUUAAAUAAAAUGUAAUGGAAAAGCUGAAGAUUUAGAA